GUCUGUGGCCAUACCACCCUGAAUGUGCCUGAUCUUGUCUGAUCUUGGAAGCUAAGCAGGGUUGGUCCUGGUUUAUACUUGGGUGGGAGACUGCCUCGCAAUAACGGGUGCUGUACGCU
Molecule: ribosomal RNA, 119 nt
Filed under: Prolemur simus (greater bamboo lemur)
Lineage: Eukaryota; Metazoa; Chordata; Mammalia; Primates; Lemuridae
Source: RNAcentral